UGUAGCAGCCAUAUCACCCUGUAGCCCAAGACGAGUUGCCCACUGAAGCUAAGCAGGGCUGAGCCUGGUCACUACCUAGAUGGGAGACCUCCUGAGAAAACUAGGUUGCUGUUGGAA
Ribosomal RNA from Sinocyclocheilus grahami, 117 nucleotides. Lineage: Eukaryota; Metazoa; Chordata; Actinopteri; Cypriniformes; Cyprinidae. The record is from Ensembl.